CCGCUGCAGCGGGAUCGAUGCUUGUCUGAGGGUUUGUCUUUUAGGGUCUGGCCCAUGUAAGUGGCAAUGAGAGUCAGGUCCUACGCAACGGGAGAUCAUGAACCCCGCCAGGUCCGGAAGGAAGCAGCGGUAAGUGGUUGCCCCCGUGUGCCGUAGGGGUGCCUGAGUUGAGUUAACUGCAUGGGUAACGCUUGGAAGGGAAAUUCGAGGGCAGGUGCGCGG
RNAcentral lists this signal recognition particle RNA (222 nucleotides) under Clostridia bacterium. RNAcentral's name for it is "partial signal recognition particle sRNA large type". It matches the Rfam family "Bacterial large signal recognition particle RNA", at positions 42 to 256 of the family's 256-position model. Rfam says of the family: The signal recognition particle (SRP) is a universally conserved ribonucleoprotein involved in the co-translational targeting of proteins to membranes. Archaeal SRP consists of a 7S RNA and homologues of the eukaryotic SRP19 and SRP54 proteins. Lineage: Bacteria; Bacillati; Bacillota; Clostridia. The record is from RNAcentral.